This 409-nucleotide ribosomal RNA is filed under the name uncultured bacterium. RNAcentral describes it as "bacterial SSU rRNA". It matches the Rfam family "Bacterial small subunit ribosomal RNA", at positions 73 to 483 of the family's 1533-position model. The record is from RNAcentral.
AAGCCCUUCGGGGUGAGUACAGUGGCGAACGGGUGAGUAACACGUGGGCAACCUGCCCCUCGCAGGGGGACAACCGGAGGAAACUCCGGCUAAUACCCCGUAMGCUUGUUGGGUCGCAUGGCUYGGCAAGGAAAGGUAGCUUCGGCCAUCCGGCGAGGGAUGGGCCCGCGCUGCAUUAGCUAGUUGGUGGGGUAACGGCCCACCAAGGCGACGAUGCGUAGCUGGUCUGAGAGGAUGAUCAGCCACACUGGGACUGAGACACGGCCCAGACUCCUACGGGAGGCAGCAGCCAGGAAUCUUGGGCAAUGGGCGCAAGCCUGACCCAGCAACACCGUGUGGGCGACGAAGGCUCUAGGGUCGUAAAGCCCUGUUGAUAGGGACGAAGGGCGAAGGGUUAAUAGCCCCUAGC